UACGUAGGGGGCAAGCGUUGUCCGGAAUCAUUGGGCGUAAAGCGCGUGUAGGCGGUCCGGUAAGUCCGCUGUGAAAGUCGGGGGCUCAACCCUCGGAUGCCGGUGGAUACUGUCGGGCUUGAGUACGGAAGAGGCGAGUGGAAUUCCUGGUGUAGCGGUGAAAUGCGCAGAUAUCAGGAGGAACACCAAUUGCGAAGGCAGCUCGCUGGGACGUUACUGACGCUGAGGCGCGAAAGCCAGGGGAGCAAACGGG
RNAcentral lists this ribosomal RNA (253 nucleotides) under uncultured bacterium. RNAcentral describes it as "partial 16S ribosomal RNA". It matches the Rfam family "Bacterial small subunit ribosomal RNA", at positions 524 to 776 of the family's 1533-position model. The record is from RNAcentral.